This 372-nucleotide ribosomal RNA is filed under the name uncultured bacterium. RNAcentral's name for it is "bacterial SSU rRNA". It matches the Rfam family "Bacterial small subunit ribosomal RNA", at positions 524 to 898 of the family's 1533-position model. The record is from RNAcentral.
UACGGGGGAUGCGAGCGUUAUCCGGAUUUAUUGGGUUUAAAGGGUGCGUAGGCUGCGCGACAAGUCGGCGGUGAAACCCCGGGGCUCAACCCCGGGCCUGCCGUCGAAACUGGCGCGCUGGAGUUCGGAUGCCGUGGGAGGAAUGAGUGGUGUAGCGGUGAAAUGCAUAGAUAUCACUCAGAACACCGAUUGCGAAGGCAUCUCACGAAUCCGAGACUGACGCUGAGGCACGAAAGCGUGGGGAUCAAACAGGAUUAGAUACCCUGGUAGUCCACGCAGUAAACGAUGAUGACUAACCGUCGGCGAUACACAGUCGGUGGCCAAGCGAAAGCGAUAAGUCAUCCACCUGGGGAGUACGACCGCAAGGUUGAA